This is a non-coding RNA of Ceratotherium simum simum (southern white rhinoceros), 111 nucleotides long. Lineage: Eukaryota; Metazoa; Chordata; Mammalia; Perissodactyla; Rhinocerotidae. The record is from RefSeq and is a predicted model, not a curated record.
CUGGGAGCUUCGGCUCAAUGCCACUGCCCAGCAUCAUGGGAGAGUAUUGUACCGCAUAUCGCUAGCCCGGGAAAAGAUCAAAAUUCAAAAUUUUAAGUCCAGAUUCUAUUG